Molecule: ribosomal RNA, 316 nt
Filed under: uncultured Bacillota bacterium
Lineage: Bacteria; Bacillati; Bacillota
Description: bacterial SSU rRNA
Rfam family: Bacterial small subunit ribosomal RNA
Source: RNAcentral
GACGAACGCUGGCGGCGUGCCUAAUACAUGCAAGUCGAGCGGGGUUUCUUCGGAAACCUAGCGGCGAACGGGUGAGUAACACGUGGGCAACCUGCCCUCGAGACUGGGAUAACUCCGGGAAACCGGGGCUAAUACCGGAUAAUCAUUUCCUCCGCAUGGAGGAGAUGUAAAAGAUUUAAUCGCUCGAGGAUGGGCCCGCGGUGCAUUAGCUAGUUGGUGAGGUAACGGCUCACCAAGGCAACGAUGCAUAGCCGACCUGAGAGGGUGACCGGCCACACUGGGACUGAGACACGGCCCAGACUCCUACGGGAGGCAG